GACGAACGCUGGCGGCGUGCUUAACACAUGCAAGUCGAGCGGUAAGGCCCUUUCGGGGGUACACGAGCGGCGAACGGGUGAGUAACACGUGGGUGACCUGCCCUCAGCUCUGGGAUAAGCCUGGGAAACCGGGUCUAAUACUGGAUAUGACUCCAUGACGCAUGUUGUGGGGUGGAAAGCCUUGUGCGGCUGAGGAUGGGCCCGCGGCCUAUCAGCUUGUUGGUGGGGUGANGGCCUACCAAGGCGACGACGGGUAGCCGGCCUGAGAGGGCGACCGGCCACACUGGGACUGAGACACGGCCCAGACUCCUACGGGAGGCAGCAGUGGGGAACCUUGCGCAAUGGGCGAAAGCCUGACGCAGCGACGCCGCGUGAGGGAUGACGGCCUGGUU
RNAcentral lists this ribosomal RNA (392 nucleotides) under uncultured bacterium. RNAcentral describes it as "bacterial SSU rRNA". It matches the Rfam family "Bacterial small subunit ribosomal RNA", at positions 28 to 424 of the family's 1533-position model. The record is from RNAcentral.